Molecule: non-coding RNA, 2730 nt
Organism: Taeniopygia guttata (zebra finch)
Lineage: Eukaryota; Metazoa; Chordata; Aves; Passeriformes; Estrildidae
Source: RefSeq, a predicted model, not a curated record
AAAAGAGGCUUAUUUUUUAAACAAUUUGAAUAUAUUCCUGCUCUUAGUCUUAUCUUUUCUUUCCUCACCUUUCCAGUACCAAGUUAGGACAAAGAGGAGAAGAUGAAAGCCAAUGUGCAACUAGAAAGUGAUGACCUGAUUGUUAUCACUGAAACUUGGUGGGAUGAAUCCUGUGACUGGAAUGCAGCUUUUGAUAGCUACAGGCUGUUCAGGAAGGACAGGAGAGGAAGGAGGGGCAAAUGGGUUGCGCUCUACAUCCAGAAAUGGAUAGAGUGUGAAGAGCUGACUCUGAAGAGCAGCAGUCUGAAAAUUUAUGGGUGAGAGACAGAGACCGAGGCAACAAAGGAAAUCUUGUGUCUGUCUACUACAGGGCAAGAAUGCAAGAGCUCUCAAUCCCCAUACACAAGAAAUUGAGCAAGAAUGGCAAGGGACUAGCAUGGCUGAGUAGAGACCUGUUGGCCAAAAUAAAGGAAAAUAAGCAGGCAGGGGAAACAGGGACAGGCACCCUGGGAUAUAUAGAGGGAUGCUGCUCGGUUGUGCAGGGAUGGGGGCAGGAAGGCCAAGGUGCAGCUGGGAUUGAACUUGGAAAGGGAUGCAAGGAAUAACAAGGGCUGCUACAUAUAUGUUAACCAGAAAAGGAAGAUGAAAGAAAGCAUACCCCAUGGAUGCACAAGACUGACAAACUGGUAACAGUUGUCAAGGAGAAGGGUGAGGUACAAACCAAGGUACAGUUCUUUCUCCAGUGUCCAGUGGUGUCCCUUGGGGACUCAUACUGGGACCAGUACUGUUUAAUAUCUUCAUCAAUGACAUAGGCAAUGGGAUUGAGUGCACCCUCACCAAGUUUGAGACUACAUCAAGCUGAGUGAUGUGACUGACAUGUCUGAAGGACAGAAUGCCAUCCAGAGGGACCUGGACAAGCCCAGGGAUGGGCCCCUCGGAACUGCUUGGUGCUCCACUAAGCCAAGUUCCAGGUGCUGCACCUGAGUUGAAGCAAUCCCAAACAGAAACACAAGCUGGGCAUAGAAUGAAUUGAGAGCAACCUUGCUAAGAAGGACUUGGGAAUACUGGUGAACAAAAAGCUGGAUGUGACUUGGCAAUGUGAGCUGGCAGCACAAAAAGGCCAACUGUAUCCUGGGCUGCAUCUGAAGCAGUUUGCCCAGCAGGUCAAGGGAGGUGAUUCAGCCUUUCUACUCUGCUCUGGUGAGACCCCACCUGGAGUACGUUGUCCAGCUUUGGAGCCCUCUGCACAGGAAAGGCACAGACCUCUUGGAAAAGAUCCAAAGGGGAGCCAUGAAGAUGAUCAAAGGGCUGGAGCACUUCUCCCGUGAAAGCAGGCUGAUAGAGUUGGGAUUAUUCAGCCUGGAGAAAAGAAGACUACAGCCUUUCAGUAUUUGAAAAUAGCUUAUAAGAAAGAUGGAUACAAACUUCUUAGCAGGGGCUGUUGCAACAGGACAUGGAGAAAUGGGUUUAAACUAAAAAAUGGGUAUAUUUGGAGAAGAUAUAAAGAUGACAUUUUUUAUUAUGAGAGAGGUGAAGCAUUGGCACAGGUUGCCCAGAGGAGAAGGCAAGGUUCAGGUUUCUCAGAAGACACUAGAGAAAGUUCAGGUUGGACAUCAAGAAGAAUUUCUUCACAGAAAUGGUUGUUAAACAUUGGAAUGUACUGCCCAAAGAGGUAGUGAAGUCACAAUCCCUGGAACUGUUCAAGAAACGACUGGACAUAGCACAUAGUGCCAUGGUCUAGCUGACAGGGAGGUGAUCAGUCAAAGACUGGACUUGAUGAUCUAGAGGUCUUUUCCAACCUAAAAGAUUCUGUGAUGCAUAGAGGUGAUAGAUACCUCAUCCUGGAAACUUCCAAGGCCAGGAAUGGGGACGGCGCCCUGAGGAAACUUACCUGGUUGCACGUGUCCAUGUUAAUUGCAGAAGGGAUAGUCUAGAUAAUCUUUAAAGGUCCUUUCCAACCCAAGUUAUUCUGUAAUUCUGUGAUUCCAUGACUUGAGCCUGAGUUUUUAAUCUUAAUGCACUCCUUAACUCAGCUUUGUAGAUGGCCUUUAGAGCUACAAAAGUUCACUUCAUUCAAAGCUUGAUCCACCUACUUGCUUCCACCAGAAAAUAGAUUUAAGUGUUAGCACUUGCUCAUAUUAGAGAGCUAGAUAGGGAUCUGCAAUACAACAGACUAUGCUAGAGGAAAGCUUUAUGCAAAAUUUUGAUAUUAAUCAUUCAAAGGGAGAUGCUAAAGGUGAGAACAGGACUUUUCUGCAGGGAGACUGCCACAGAGGAAAGGACGUCCUUCAGCCUGCAGUGACAGGGAUUCUCAGCUACUCAGCAGAGAACUGGACAGUGAGAGUAACCUGGGCAAUGUGCUACAUGGACGCUGGAAAGCUGGGGAAGAACAUAGACAGUAAGCUGCAGAUGAUGGGCUGGAAAAGCCUGUGCCCAUGGGAUGCAAACCAUUAGGGCCCUGCUUCCUUCAAAGAUAAAACUGACUGCUGGUUUCAAGGGCUAUUUAUUGCCAUGACAGUGAUAUAUCACUCUGAGUACUGCCUCUUAAAGGAUUAUUAGCACCUACCUGAUCUGAAAAAGUACAAACAUUCAACCAAAAUUGCUGUAUUAAUAGAUAAGUCGAAAAUAAAUAAACAAGAAACAAACAGAACCUUUUUAAAAGAAGGAACUGCAACUGAAAUACUUUAAAGAUAAAUAAACUUUUACAUUUGACUCCCUCUAGAGUAUAUU